GAUGAACGCUAGCGGCAGGCCUAAUACAUGCAAGUCGAACGGUGUCUUCGGACAUAGUGGCGCACGGGUGCGUAACACGUAUGCAACCUACCUUACAUUGGGGGAUAGCCUUUCGAAAGGGAGAUUAAUACCGCAUAAGACAGUAACUAGGCAUCUAGUAGCUGUUAAAGAUUUAUCGAUGUAAGCUGGGCAUGCGUCCAAUUAGCUAGUUGGUGAGGUAACGGCUCACCAAGGCUAUGAUUGGUAGGGGAACUGAGAGGUCAAUCCCCCACACUGGCACUGAGAUACGGGCCAGACUCCUACGGGAGGCAGCAGUAGGGAAUAUUGGGCAAUGGACGCAAGUCUGACCCAGCCAUGCCGCGUGCAGGAUGAAGGCGUUAUGCGUUGUAAACUGCUUUUAUACAGGAAGAAACGACUCUUGCGAGAGGCAUUGACGGUACUGUAUGAAUAAGCACCGGCUAACUCCGUGCCAGCAGCCGCGGUAAUACGGAGGGUGCAAGCGUUGUCCGGAUUUAUUGGGUUUAAAGGGUGCGCAGGUGGUUUAUUAAGUCAGUGGUGAAAGACGGUCGCUCAACGAUUGCAGUGCCAUUGAAACUGGUAGACUUGAGUAAAGUAGAGGUGGGCGGAAUUGAUAGUGUAGCGGUGAAAUGCAUAGAUAUUAUCAAGAACUCCAAUUGCGUAGGCAGCUCACUUGGCUUUU
RNAcentral lists this ribosomal RNA (700 nucleotides) under uncultured Arcicella sp. RNAcentral describes it as "bacterial SSU rRNA". It matches the Rfam family "Bacterial small subunit ribosomal RNA", at positions 28 to 738 of the family's 1533-position model. The record is from RNAcentral. Lineage: Bacteria; Pseudomonadati; Bacteroidota; Cytophagia; Cytophagales; Flectobacillaceae.